Serinus canaria (Common canary) is the source of this 604-nucleotide long non-coding RNA. RefSeq lists it as uncharacterized. The transcript is spliced from 2 exons. NCBI's taxonomy places the organism in Eukaryota, Metazoa, Chordata, Aves, Passeriformes, Fringillidae. The record is from RefSeq and is a predicted model, not a curated record.
GACAGUUUUUAUACAUUUAAAUUAUCUAUCCCAACAUACAGCAGCUGUUUUCUAACUGCAGAAUAGUGACUCUGCUGUCAUCCCCAUGCCAGUGCUGUAAAGGGAAUGUUGCCUUCCACAGGAAUGUGCACAUCUUAAAUGAAAAACUCAAGACACAUUUGGAAGCUAGUGACAUCUGCAUUGACCCCAUGCUUUUCUACUGAACACCUAUUCAAAUCUGCUUCUCAGUCAGGUUUGUUCAUGCUCCAAACACAACCAAGCACAGCACUGCUGCCACAGACCUGAAGGUAAGGAAUCAGCCAAGAUUCAAAGCUGUUUUUCUUACAUAGGUGCACAAAUACAAAACAUUACUUCAGGGAACACCCUGGCACCAAGACUGCUCAAGUGGAAGUAACACAUCCAGCUGGCACCAAAUCAAUACAGUGCUAAGGAACAUCUACAGCAGCUUUGUGCUGGGCACUUCUUCCACAGAAGCAUCAGGUUUUGGCUCGCUAACACCAAAAGGUGCAAUGCUGUCAGCCUGGGAAGGAAUAAAGGACUUCCAGAGGUGUGAGAACCAUACCUGCUUAACCCUUUCCAUCUUCAACUUCUUUGCUGCAGAGUA